Molecule: unclassified non-coding RNA, 422 nt
Filed under: Hevea brasiliensis (rubber tree)
Lineage: Eukaryota; Viridiplantae; Streptophyta; Magnoliopsida; Malpighiales; Euphorbiaceae
Source: RNAcentral
CUCCUUUUAGGCAAGCCACUGGAAUGGUGUCAAUAAAAGCAACUCAAUUAAAAUCACAUUCCGGAAUGAUCAGGAUAAAAUGGGUAUUUGUCUAACAGGCACAUUUCCAAAGCAACAUCCACUACUAUUUCCAUUCCAUGUCAUCAAACAUUUGGAUAUAUGGGAUAAAUGAAACGCCAUCUUAUAUUCAAAAGAACAUCCUUUACUUGGUUAGAGACGAGCAUGCUGGAAAAAAUUAAGUCUCGCAUUUAAAAAGAACACAAUAUCAAAAAAAAAAAGGAGGCCAUUAUCAUGAAAUUUUUAGCAAGAUCCCUGACAAAUGUUAACAAACUUUGGGUAACUUGUUAAUGACACAGCAAGCAUAGAUAGAUAGAUAUGGAGAGUGAGUAAGUGAGAACACCUUUUAUUCGUCUGAGCUCCUU